RNAcentral lists this ribosomal RNA (723 nucleotides) under Erycina pusilla. RNAcentral's name for it is "eukaryotic LSU rRNA". The stretch from base 266 to 421 matches the Rfam family "5.8S ribosomal RNA". Lineage: Eukaryota; Viridiplantae; Streptophyta; Magnoliopsida; Asparagales; Orchidaceae. The record is from RNAcentral.
AGGAAGGAGAAGUCGUAACAAGGUUUCCGUAGGUGAACCUGCGGAAGGAUCAUUGCCGAGAUCGAAGAAUAUAUUGAGCGAUUUGAAAACACGUGAAAAAGAUUGAGCAUGUUGUCGCCCAUGAAAACUUUUUUGAAGUUGGGUGCCACGGCAAAAUGGAUAACCCACAAAUCGACGCAGCAUCGCGUCAAGGAAAAUAAAAAAUUCUUGAGCCCAGCAAGGGCUAAAUGAUGUGGUGUGCUAACGCACUCCAUGCGAUUAAAAUGACUCUCGACAAUGGAUAUCUUGGCUCUUGCAUCGAUGAAGAGCGCAGCGAAAUGCGAUACGUGGUGUGAAUUGCAGAAUCCCGCGAACCAUCGAGUUUUUGAACGCAAGUUGCGCCCGAGGCCAACCGGCUAAGGGCAUGUCCGCUUGGGCGUCAAGCAUUGCGUCGCUCCGUGCUAGUUGUAUCUCCAAUGGGAGUGUUGAGCGAGGCGCGGAAGUGUAGAGUGGCCCGUAGUGCCAGUUGGUAUGGCGGGCUAAAGAGAGGGUUUUUUUCUCAAAGGCUACGAACAACAAUGGGUUGGUACAAAGCUCAAAUUGUAGCCUAUGUUGUCUUGUGCUGUCGUGAGAUAUAUAGAUUCCCUUUAUGUGAUCCUUGACCAUGCCCUCCCCAGUGUGAGGCGGCUUGGAAUGUGGCCCCAGGAUGGGCGAGGAUACCCGCUGAGUUUAAGCAUAUCAAUA